Molecule: small RNA, 107 nt
Filed under: Rhizobium leguminosarum
Lineage: Bacteria; Pseudomonadati; Pseudomonadota; Alphaproteobacteria; Hyphomicrobiales; Rhizobiaceae
Description: sRNA ar35
Rfam family: Alphaproteobacterial sRNA ar35
Source: RNAcentral
CUUCAAGCUGCCUAAAAUUGAUAUCUGCUUUCCUUUGACCACGGAUGUACUGGCACUGUCGAAAGCGAUACCAGGGAGGUCAGGCAAAUUGCCUGGCCUUUUUUCUG